AAUUAUGGUGGGCUGGGCAGGGGAGCCGAAAGGCUCGCCGGUUUCCGUAUGCGCCGGUACUGCGAACCCUGUUCAGUUCACCACCCAU
RNAcentral lists this non-coding RNA (88 nucleotides) under Escherichia coli. The record is from RNAcentral. Lineage: Bacteria; Pseudomonadati; Pseudomonadota; Gammaproteobacteria; Enterobacterales; Enterobacteriaceae.